Molecule: non-coding RNA, 2820 nt
Organism: Phascolarctos cinereus (koala)
Lineage: Eukaryota; Metazoa; Chordata; Mammalia; Diprotodontia; Phascolarctidae
Source: RefSeq, a predicted model, not a curated record
CCAGUGGUCUAGGCAGCGCCAGGAGGGGCACCCUAAGGGGCCGCGGAUGCAGGCUUCUGAGGGCGGCGGAACACCUCCCCUCCCCUCCCCCUUUCUCCUUCCCAACCCCUUCGCAUCCCGCGGCUGCAGGUGCUGAAGACCGGGGGGUAAAGAAUGGAAACGCCUUUUGGACUCUAAGGGUCCCCUUCCCACCCGUUUAGAAAGAAAACAUCCUUCCUGUCAUCUGCCCUCCCAAAACUGACGUACACUUGUAAAAACCAAGGAGCAGCCAUGGCGGACAGCCUAAGAAGACUAGUUAACAACGAAUGCUGUCGAAUGUUGCAGGAGAAAUUGGAGACGUGGUACAAGGAUUACUAUAUGAACUCAUGUGAUCAAAACUUGAAUUGCUGCUGUGAAAUAAUUGAACUGAAUUCCAGAAUACAGGGGCAGCUCUUCACAAUCUUCAGUCUAACAGCGCAAGAAGGUGGACAUUAUGCUGGUGUGGAAACAAUCAAAUCUCGACUUCUGCCCUGGCUAGGGACUUGCUUCUCCAAUUCUUCUAUAGGAAAACCCAUUGACAACAACUUAAGCCUUUUUCAGGAGUCACUUGAAAAGGACAGACAGCUACGAGAACUUUCUGCUACCCGGGAACGGGAGAUACAGCAGUUAGAUUCGGAAUUGAAUUCAACUCGUGUACAACUCAGCAUGGUUCAACAAGAUCUGGCAGAAACUGAGAUGGAUCUUGAAGACACCAAGGCCAAAUCAGCUACAGCCCUUUUGGCUGCAGAGGAUGAAAUAAUUCAUCUAAAGAAUCAACUCAAGUCUCUUCAAGCCCAGGAGGAGUCCCGCCAACGCAGCUUGGAUAUGAUAGCUGACUAUGAGCGACAGCUUCGGACUCUGAAGGAUGAGAUUGCUGUCCUGUCUGCAGAAAAAUCUGUUCUCCAGAGCAGACUCUCCAGGAGCCGGUCUCCUAGCCCUGAUUCCCAAUGCAGCAGGGCUUCCAGUCCCGUUCAAAAAGAGAUGACCCUGUCACCUCUAGCCAACAGGCUGAACUCUGUCUCACGCAAAGCUAAUCUCCUGGCCCGUUUCACUGAUGCAUAUACUAAAGGCCGAAUGGAGGCACAGACCUUACUCAAGAGAUACAUUGAUAAGAUGGAAACGGUGCAGAGGAUCAUCUAUAUUGCCACAGUGGAGUCUUUCCAUGUAGCUAAGAUGGCAUUCAGACACUUCAAAAUACGUGUGAGGAAGACUUUAACACCAGGUCAUAUUGGGACAGAAUCUAUUGAGGACGUUGUCACGGAUUACAUAAUUUGUCAUCUUGAUUUAUAUGAUGUUCAAAGCAGCGUUAAUGACGUGAUUCGUGCCAUGAACGUGAACCCCAAGAUUUCUUUUCCACCUGAAGUUGAGUUUGCCAUUAUUAGCUGCUUCAUCAAGGAGAUAUGCUGUAUUGCAUUUGCAAUGCAGACUUUGGAUCCUCCCCUAGAUAUUGCAUUUGGUGCUGAUGGAGAGAUUUUUAAUGAUUGCAAGUAUCGCCGCAGCUGUGACUCUGAUUUCACGGCUCCCUUGGUCUUCUAUCACGUGUGGCCUGCUCUGAUGGAGAAUGAAAAUAUCAUUAUGAAGGGAGAAGCUGUCACCAAGAGAGGGGCUUUUUGGUCAUCUGUGAAAUGCGUCAACCGAAGUAGGAGUCGAAGUCUAAGCCCUGUCCCUCAGCAUGGUAGCCCGUGUAAAAGCGGGGCAUCAAGAAGCCGAAGCCCUUCUCCAUCAAGAGAUAUCAAUGCAAAUGGACACUCCAGUUGUAUUUCUCAGUGACGCUAAUGUUCCUGGUUGACAUAGGCAGUAUCUUAAGAGGUAGAAGGCAGUAAACUUGGAUUCCAGUCCUCGCUCCACCCUGACUUCCUUGUUGGCUGUGGGACUUAGGACAAGUCAUGUAACCUCUUGGAGCUCAAUUUUGGGAGUCACAUGAGAUACGGUUUUAAGUUGACUGGAAGUAUUUCUUUGCUCCUGUACAUCUGGACAAAUCAACUCCAGUGGUGCUUCCAUCUGUUCUAAGAGUUCUUCAAACCUCACUUAAGAUAAUGUGAAUGACAAUUCUGUAUCACUCGAAGGGGAGAGCUAAAAUUUUUUUUUUGGUGUAGUGUGUUUUGAUAACUUUAGAUAUAUUGCCUUUUUAUAACUUUUUUAUUUAGAAACUAAUUCAAUUAAUUUGAUAAAAAUGUGUAGGUGUUUACGAUCAUAUUCAUUUGAUACAAGGCUUACUCCACAGUUUCAAGAAUUCCAUUGUUAAAUACCAUACUGUAUUUUAGCAAACUCUAGAAGCAAAGAUAAAAACAUCUUAACUGACCGAUGUUUAGCCAAUUUGAAACAACACAACAGGACAUUUAGUUUCACAGUCCAGUCAUAAACAUCACAUGUGAUCAGACUAAUUUUAAAACAUUGUUAUCAUAUGAUGCCUUUUUGGUUUUGUUUUACCUUUUGGGAGAUAGCAUUAUCUUAGACUAGGAAAACUUCCAUCCUAUCCCUAGAGUUAAUUAUCUUGUUUUAAAUGUGAAAAGUUUUUAACUAAGGGAAUACUGUUACUUUGCUUCCCUGUGCUUUCUACCCCAAAGUAUAAAUAUCAGGUCAUGAGGAUUACUUUGUUUAUUAAAUCUUGACUGUCACUUGAGAGAGGACAUCUGUCAAUUAGUGCUUAUCUGCCCUAUUUUAUCUUUUGGGAUUACUUUGCUUUUGCCAAUGCGUACCUGAAGUUUGACAAUACUUACUUGAUAUUUGUUCAUUAGCAUUUCCAAUGAAACACACAUAAAACCCAAUUUUAUUUGAAUAAAAUCACCCCAGCUCCUAAAA